GGCCGGAUAGCCAAGCGGUUAGGCAGAGGAUUGCAAAUCCUUGUAGCCCGGUUCGACUCCGGGUCCGGCCUCCA
RNAcentral lists this transfer RNA (74 nucleotides) under Solemya velesiana gill symbiont. RNAcentral's name for it is "tRNA-Cys". It matches the Rfam family "tRNA". Rfam says of the family: Transfer RNA (tRNA) molecules are approximately 80 nucleotides in length. Their secondary structure includes four short double-helical elements and three loops (D, anti-codon, and T loops). Further hydrogen bonds mediate the characteristic L-shaped molecular structure. tRNAs have two regions of fundamental functional importance: the anti-codon, which is responsible for specific mRNA codon recognition, and the 3' end, to which the tRNAs corresponding amino acid is attached (by aminoacyl-tRNA synthetases). tRNAs cope with the degeneracy of the genetic code in two manners: having more than one tRNA (with a specific anti-codon) for a particular amino acid; and 'wobble' base-pairing, i.e. permitting non-standard base-pairing at the 3rd anti-codon position. The record is from RNAcentral. RNAcentral also lists the same sequence under 1 other name. Lineage: Bacteria; Pseudomonadati; Pseudomonadota; Gammaproteobacteria.